UACGAAGGGGGCUAGCGUUGCUCGGAAUUACUGGGCGUAAAGGGCGCGUAGGCGGACAGUUAAGUCAGAGGUGAAAUCCCAGGGCUCAACCCUGGAAUUGCCUUUGAUACUGGCUGUCUUGAGUAUGGGAGAGGUAAGCGGAACUCCGAGUGUAGAGGUGAAAUUCGUAGAUAUUCGGAAGAACACCAGUGGCGAAGGCGGCUUACUGGCCCAUUACUGACGCUGAGGCGCGAAAGCGUGGGGAGCAAACAGG
RNAcentral lists this ribosomal RNA (253 nucleotides) under uncultured bacterium. RNAcentral describes it as "partial 16S ribosomal RNA". It matches the Rfam family "Bacterial small subunit ribosomal RNA", at positions 524 to 776 of the family's 1533-position model. The record is from RNAcentral.